AUUGAACGCUGGCGGCAUGCUUUACACAUGCAAGUCCAACGGCAGCGCGGGCUUCGGCCUGGCGGCGAGUGGCGAACGGGUGAGUAAUACAUCGGAACGUGCCCAGUAGUGGGGGAUAGCUCGGCGAAAGCCGGAUUAAUACCGCAUACGACCUGAGGGUGAAAGCGGGGGAUCUUCGGACCUCGCGCUAUUGGAGCGGCCGAUGGCAGAUUAGCUAGUUGGUGGGGUAAAGGCCUACCAAGGCGACGAUCUGUAGCUGGUCUGAGAGGACGACCAGCCACACUGGGACUGAGACACGGCCCAGACUCCUACGGGAGGCAGCAGUGGGGAAUUUUGGACAAUGGGCGAAAGCCUGAUCCAGCAAUGCCGCGUGUGUGAUGAAGGCCUUCGGGUUGUAAAGCACUUUUGGCGGGAACGAAAAGGACUGUGCCAAUACCACGGUUCGAUGACGGUACCCGCAGAAUAAGCACCGGCUAACUACGUG
RNAcentral lists this ribosomal RNA (484 nucleotides) under uncultured bacterium. RNAcentral describes it as "partial 16S ribosomal RNA". It matches the Rfam family "Bacterial small subunit ribosomal RNA", at positions 29 to 507 of the family's 1533-position model. The record is from RNAcentral.